Molecule: ribosomal RNA, 495 nt
Filed under: Triticum aestivum (bread wheat)
Lineage: Eukaryota; Viridiplantae; Streptophyta; Magnoliopsida; Poales; Poaceae
Description: partial small subunit ribosomal RNA
Source: RNAcentral
AUGGCUGACUGCUGUGACAUUCAUCGCAGAUAUAACAACUCGGUACGGCAUGCCACACAGCAUCAUCACCGACAAUGGCACAAAUUUCGCCAAGGGAGCCUCGGCACAUUAUGCGCGACGCAAGGCAUCUGGUUGGAUCUAGCAUCCGUCGCCCACCCACAGUCAAACGGCCAGGUCGAGCGAGCCAACGGCCUCAUCCUUUCCGGCAUCAAGCCCCGACUGAUCGUACCACUGGAGCGUUCAGCCGGCUGUUGGCUCGAUGAGCUGCCGGCUGUCCUCUGGAGUCUGCGCACUACACCAAACAAGUCAACCGGCUUCACCCCUUUCUUCCUCGUGUAUGGUGCCGAGGCGGUCAUCCCAACUGACAUCGAGUUCGACUCGCCUCGAGUAACCAUGUACAUGGAAGCGGAGGCCAAGGAAGCACGAGAAGACGGUGUUGACCUGCUGGAAGAAAGCCGGCUGUUAGCCCUCAGCCGGUCCGCCAUCUAUCAGUAG